Long non-coding RNA from Xiphophorus maculatus (southern platyfish), 1554 nucleotides. RefSeq lists it as uncharacterized. The record is from RefSeq and is a predicted model, not a curated record. The transcript is spliced from 4 exons. NCBI's taxonomy places the organism in Eukaryota, Metazoa, Chordata, Actinopteri, Cyprinodontiformes, Poeciliidae.
GUUUAGUCGACCUCAGUUCAGAGCAGCAGCAGAUGUUGCAUCGAUAAGCUGCUCAGAUGGAUGCAGUGAGAGUCGGCCUUUUACUGCUACUGCCAUGUGUUGUGUGCUUUUUGGAUGCUGAAGAAACUCUUGUGAAAACAAUCUGGAAAGAAUCUGAUUUCACUCCAAUCUGCACCAACGAAACAUCAAAUAUCAUCACAUUGAUUGUGUGUAGGAUCAGAACAGAGAAUAACGGCAAAGAGGGAUGCAGUUUGCGGUACAAGGACGGAGGUGACUUUGUUCAUGAGUGUGACUCCAGGUUCUCACUAAAAACCAGGAAUCAAACUGUGUUUCUGCACCUGACCAGUUUAACAGCAGCUGAUAGUGGGAACUAUUCCUGUCAGUGUUCUAAUCAAGAUGGAACAUUUAUUUUCCAUCUCAACAUCACAGUAAAUGGUGAGCCACUUCUAUAUUCCUUCUAUCAAACUUACAGUAACUAUUUAUUCUCAAACAAUGUUUGCUUUAUUUCCAAUAGACUCAUUUCCUAAUAAUAAUAAUAAUAACUCUGAUGAAGUUUGGAGCCAGUCUGUAGGAGUGACUCUUCCUUCUGCUUUGACUGCUGCAGUUCUCUUAAUUUUCAUAGUUUCAGUUAUUCUGGGAUUUAUUCACAGAAGACAUCAACAUCGAGGGCAACCAGAAUCAUGCAGACAUAAUCUAGAGGAGGACUUGACUGAAAUUGAGCCGUACAGCUCCUACACUCAGAAGGAAAAUUCGCUUUAUUCAACAGGCAUAUUGCACAGCUGUCAAAUUAAUUCUGACUAUUCAAAUAUUUUCACUUGAACAGACAACUUUGCCUUCACUGCCCUUGGCUGUCGUUUAAUUUGUGUUUAUGGUAAUUUCCUUGUGGUUUAUUUAUGUUCAAUACAUCUUGCCAUACUCAGUAAAUUUCCUUGUAUUCAUUAAUGUUUGAAUGUUGUUGCCAUAUAAGCUAAUUCCUUUGUGUUUCGUUUUUUGUUGUGUUCUGUUAUUUGUGCAAUUGGAUUUAGUUCUCUGAGAUCACUGUUGAUCUUUUCCACUUGAUUUGUAGUUUAUCUCAGUUGUAGUUUCUGUUCCCGGACUUCCUCUCUCAGUUUCUCUGUUUUCUGCUUGCCUCAGCUGUACAACAACAACUUUGAUUGGUUCAUCUGGUUCAUCUGUCAUUUUCCACUGCCGCAGUAUAAAAGCUCGCUGGUUCUCACUGCUGGACUCUUCAGUUACACUUCUCUUUCUCGUCCAUCAGUUCCUUUCUCUUUUAUAGGGAUCUGUAAUUUUAUUUCAUUUUUUUCCCACCAUUAAAAACUCUCAACUCAGCAACUAGAACAUUUUGUUCAACUUAAUGUUAGAUGAUGGCAAAAAUCUUUUUUAUUGUGUUCUUUAAUAAAGCAGAAGUAAAUAUCUGUUUUAACUACAUUGAGUUUUAUGAUGAGUGAACUACUGUCUGAUGUCCACCAGGUGGCUCUCUUGCCUUAUUUCAAGUUUUUAAUUCGUCCACUGGAAUGGACAUGAUAUUUUUCUCGGAUUAAACCAAUAAAAGGA